This 86-nucleotide small RNA is filed under the name Pseudomonas sp. 2(2015). RNAcentral's name for it is "isrK". Lineage: Bacteria; Pseudomonadati; Pseudomonadota; Gammaproteobacteria; Pseudomonadales; Pseudomonadaceae. The record is from RNAcentral.
GUCGCUGCAAAUUCAGCGACUCGGGCUUGGCGGUCCGGAACGAAGGCGCAAAGCGCCCCACAAUCACCCUCGCAGGCGCUUUUUUU